CUGGGGAUCAAAACCACCUCAGCCUGGAAGGAGGGUCCCCCCAGUCAGAGACACUCAGGGAGGAUCUCCGGGAAACGGGUGUGGUGGACACCAACUGGUGGGAUCACCUGCUGGGGACACUACAGGUGGACCCAGGACUCAAGCUGGCCAAUCAGCGUCCUCCCCGGGCGCGUUAAACCGGGAGCAGUGAGUCAUGAAGCCGAGCCCAGAGCCAGCCCCACGCUAUACGAUGAAGAGCCCCGCUUCCACCAGGAGAAGCUGCCAGGAGGCACGGAGGGUCCCGGGGCGCCCGAGUCCUGGGGUUCCGACAGCCGUCCUCGUGCCCGCAUUCCCCCCGGUGGCCGCUCCCCUUGCCGGGCUCUGGGGCGUCCCCGACGCUCCCCGCACGGCCUGUCCGCUGCGGCCGCCGCAGCUUCGUUUCUGCCGCUUGCAAGCCCGAGUCCGAACCUCCCAGAAAGCAAGCCGCCGUCUUUGCCUCAGACACGCAGUGUGAGGGUUCACAGGGUCCGAGCACCAAACGUCGGCCGCCCUCACGCCGCUGGUGCCCUCAGUGAAGUCGGGGAUCACCCCCCACCCCGAAUCCGGGCUCCCGGCGCUGCGUAGCUGAUGAGAACUCAGGCCGGGUCCUGAUCCGCUCAUUUCAGAAGAGCGGAAGGAUCCUGUACUGAUGCCUUUCCCCUCGUAGUGCUGAAAUCAUUCUUCAUUUCAGCCCUUUCACCAUCUUUGUUCAGUGACUUUAAUUUUUUGGCAGAGUUCUCACGAUGGUGUUUACCAGUUGCUGAGGUCUAAGUGUUUGUGUCCCCAAAUUCAUAUGUUGAAACCCCAGGGGCUGAUGUGAUGGUGUUACAUGUGGGGCCUUCGGGAGGUGAUUACGACGUGAGGCUGGAGCCCUCAGGAACCGGGUUAGUGCCCUUAUAGGAGAGCCCCCGAGAGCUGCCUCCCCCUCCGGCCGCGUGAGGACUCAGCUCUGAGAAGGUGCCGGCUAUGACCCAGGAAGACGGCCCUCGCCAGAAGGUGACCAGCUGGCUCCUUGACCUGGACUUCAGCCUCCAGAACUGUGAGCAAUGAAUGUCUGUUGUUUAUGAGCCACCCAGUCUGUGGUGUUCUGUUGUGGCAGCUGGAAUAGAUGAGACCCCAGUCGUCACCAAAACAAGACCAAUGGAUAAGCAUUUUCCCCUCAGAGACCUGAGCAGUCUUCUGAUUUUCGUUUCGCAGCCAGGAGUGCCUGUGGGAAGAAAAUAAAUGGUUAUAUUCUCUUCCCAGAGCCCCAGCCUGUCUGAGGAGCCUGGGACCGAGCACACAGGAAGUUGUUUGUCCCCAGUCCCUGCAACCCUGCGUGGGGUUUUGGCUUAGAGUGUGGCAGGAGGUGGAGGAUAGGGAGGCAGAGAGCAAUGGGGACGGAAUGAUACCCUCAUCAAAUGUGACGGGGCCUUCCAAGAGCCCUGCCGUCUCGCCUUGCCGUCUGGGAGCCACGAUGUUAUCUCCCUCACCGACUUCUACAGAAUUAGCCUCACUGAGCAGGAGGAUUCUGGAGGCGGGGAGAUGGAGUCAUGUGAUCAGCCACAAGCAUAUACAGAACUAGCCAAUACAUGGAGCUCAAGGUGAACACCCAGCUCCCAGCACAGAGCCUGACGCAGAGCCGGAAUUGGGUAAAUAUUUGUGGAGUGAAUAAUAUAAGGUAAACUGUGGAGAGAGGAUUGAAUUCCAGAGUUCCGGGUGUAGAAGCCAUGACAUGAUUUAUAAAUGAAUAUUUUCUAAUGGUGACACAGAAGCAUGAUACACAGUAAAGGGAAGUCAAGCUAGAAUGUGCAUUCUUUAAAAGUAAAGCACAAUGUGACUAGCUUAUGUUCAGCAAAUUACAAGUUAAUUGUAAUAAAAAUUGAGACAAUGUAUUUUCUUGGGAAGAACAGAUGUAAGAUUUCCAAUACCAAAUCUAGCACUUGGUGGACUAAAUUAGAAUACAUGUUUAUCACUUCAUUCAAAAAGCCAUUCACCAUGACGGUAUUAAAACAUAGGUUUCAAUGAAAAGUUCAAUUUACAUUUUUCAGAGUUUUAAAUUUAUUUCUCAGUUUAGAAAUCAACCAUAUAGAUUACAAUGUAUUUAAAGGUGGGGAGUUUUGUCUUAUAUAAUGACAUUCAAAGAAAUGUUGUCAGUGACUGACUCAGCCAUGAGGGGGACUUAGAAAAGAAAAUAUGUUCAAGUGUGUACAAGUAAUUAUACAUAAAACACACACAGCUUUCAGAGACACAGUUUGUAUCGCAGGGAAUAUAAAAUCUCAUAGAAGAGGAAAUACAGUCUUUCUGUACUUUGUACAGACUAUUAAAAAACAUAAGGUUUUGAAAAGUG
Equus caballus (horse) is the source of this 2347-nucleotide long non-coding RNA. NCBI's taxonomy places the organism in Eukaryota, Metazoa, Chordata, Mammalia, Perissodactyla, Equidae. The record is from Ensembl.